AACCAGCUCUUCAAGUGGUCGGGAUGAUUAUUGGGCUUAAAGUGUCCGUAGCUGGUUUAGAAAGUUCCUGGUAAAAUCAGGUAGCUUAACUAUCUGUAUGCUAGGAAUACUACUAUACUAGAGGGCGGGAGAGGUCUGAGGUACUACAGGGGUAGGGGUGAAAUCUUAUAAUCCUUGUAGGACCACCAGUGGCGAAGGCGUCAGACUGGAACGCGCCUGACAGUGAGGGACGAAAGCCAGGGGAGCAAACCGGAUUAGAUACCCCCGUA
RNAcentral lists this ribosomal RNA (269 nucleotides) under uncultured prokaryote. Its description in RNAcentral is "partial 16S ribosomal RNA". It matches the Rfam family "Archaeal small subunit ribosomal RNA", at positions 474 to 743 of the family's 1478-position model. The record is from RNAcentral.